This is a long non-coding RNA of Vigna angularis (adzuki bean), 2923 nucleotides long. RefSeq lists it as uncharacterized. The transcript has 2 exons. Lineage: Eukaryota; Viridiplantae; Streptophyta; Magnoliopsida; Fabales; Fabaceae. The record is from RefSeq and is a predicted model, not a curated record.
UGAAACAUUCGUACAUAAAUAGGAAUAUAAAAAAGGAUUAAACCUUUUCAAAAUGAUUAAACCUACCUUUUACUUUUGAGUAUGAGAAUUAAAUUUUCUAAAUUAGAAACUAUUAUCUCUUAAAAAAGCUAGAAAGUCCCAAGACUCCUCUAGCCACCUUCAAGCACUUCUCUCACUUCCAUAAUUUCCAUGCUUACAUUUUCUCUCAUCCUCCACGCUAAACCACUCCUCCGCUGCCACAUUUUAAGCUUCUCGUGCGCGCCUCAGCCACGUUAUCACGCUUCAGCCACGUCGUGUAACAUAUUCCUUCUCUCGCUGCCACGCGUGGAAGUCUCAUUUCCUUUCCUAUCACACGUUCGAUAGAGCACUUUCAUUUCUCACAGCCUCACUCUCAUUUCUCUCCAUUUCGGUUUCACGGCGUCUUCACUCUCUUGAGAGAUCUUCAUUGGCCAGCCAAGGCUUGAAAAAAUUCGCCUGCACUCAUCUUUCACCACUUCAGAAACCAUUAUACAUGGAAUUGCAAUUUUGUGGCCUUAGAAGAAAGAGAGACUUGCUUAGUAGUGGCGUGGAACCAAUACUCUUUGCACUGCAAAAUUCUAGCCAUAAGCUCAAAUGGUGGGGAAGUGAAAUUGACCAUUGCCCCUUGGCCACUUGCCCAACUGUACCUGGAAUUGUGGUUGAUGGGUGUCCAGUAUUAAAAUUGGAUUUCUGAUUCUAAUUUUCCACAGAGAACUCAAAUAAGGAUUCAGACUUUGUAUUUUUAGAAUUUAGAAACCCAACCUUGGCUAGCUUUAGAAACUUGUUUCUUUUUUCCAGUUCGUCCUCUUUUUCUUUUAUGUGAGUCAUUUUAGAAGCUUCAAGCUUCUUCUUCUCUCUAAUAUGACUUAACAAAAAAUAUGUCAUAAUAUAUUAAAUCUAUGACUUAACAAAAAAUAUGUCAUGAUAUAUUAAAUCUAUUAUAACGUAAAUUUUUGCUACGUGUCUACUAUCACCUCAAAACUAUGUUUAUCACCUCAAAACUAUGUUUAUCACCUCAAAACUAUGUUAUGCAAAAAUGAAGUUAUAACAGAUCAUUUUGAUACGGCAUAAUUAUGAUUUCUGAGUGAGUAUAUUUUGGCUUUCACUUUUUUUUCAUUAAAAAUGCAAAGGGAUUGUUGCAUUUUGAUUAUGUCUAAUUCAUUUUGUCAUGUUCACUAAUUAAUAACAUUGAUUUUAUUUUAUUGACAGAUUCUUUAUUAUUAAUAAUUUUGAUAUAACUGGUAGAUUUUAACAAUUACCAACCGUUUAGAUUGAUCAAAAUAUAAUACAUAUUAUAAUAAAAUGCAAUUAAAUAGUAUACAUAUAAUGUAGAUAAUGAGUUGUUUAGUUUUCACAUAUUUUAUAUACUAUAUAAAUUAUAUAUAAUCAAUUUUUUUAUUUUAUUUUCUAUUCAUUUGUUUAGUAUGUUUUGAUAUUAUCUAUAAUUAUAAAUAAUAUAUCUUGAUUGCAUGAAUUUUUUUUUCUUGAUAUGGUAUUAAAAGUGUCUUUUUCUCAUUCAUUUUAAUAUUAUUUUUUUUCUGUCAUCAAUGUCAUAGGUGAAAACUCUUAUGUCUAAUGGUCCACCGUUUUUAGUAAUAUGAUUAUAUUUAUUUUACAAGCCAGUCAUUUUUUUCAAUGGUUUUAUUUUUAUUUUUUCCUUUUUCAUCAAUCAUUUUAUUAUGCUUUUACUCUUAUUAAUAAAAUCCAUGUAUUAUCUAUCAAUAUGUUAUUCUGGUAGUACGUAUGAAUGAUGUUGAACUUUAUCCUACAUUAGUGUUUUAUAAUUUUUUUUAACUUAAUUCAAUCUUGGUUUGUUUUUUUUCAAUGUCUUAUUAGUGUAUGAUGAUUUGUUAGUCACCUUUCUUAAAGAUUUUUUUUUUUAUCCAAGAGAUGCUUCACUCCAAGAAGAUUGUCAAUGGUAAUUUUACUAAAGAAUUGUAUAUGUUGUUUGUUUUCAAACUUUUUACAAAAUAAUUGUAAUUUUGCUUCUUGUAAUAUUAGUAUAAAUACUAUAUGUUCUUGUAAAAAUGUUAAUAUUUGACAUGCAAGAUUUGUAGAUGUAUACCAUAAAUUCCUUUAACUCUUAAUAGUAAUGACAUUCCUUUUGUUAUUUCACAUAAUUUUUCUAAUUUUAAUUGUCAAAUUUGUCAUCUUGCUAAAGUUUAGAAGAUUAUUUUUUCAUAGGAGUCUAGAUCAUUAUUUUGAUAUAAUGUAUUGUAAUCCUACAUUCAAAGAUAAUCUAAAGUAUGUAAAAAGGAAAACUAUUUGUCUGAGUAUAUAUGCUUUAGUACCUCACACCCUUAUCCUUUUCAAAAAAUUUAUUCUUUGAACAAACUCAAUUCACGGUACAAAACUUUUAUCAAUUACGAUACGAAAAAGCGUAUAAUUGUGAGUUGGGAUUUUCUGUACGUAGUACAUAAUGGGUAGACUAGAAUUAUGCAAGGAAUGGAUUGGAUGGAUGCAUGCAUGUUUGGGGUCUACAUUUUUUUGUUGGUAAAUGGGAAUGUGACUCAAGAACUCAAACCAAUAAGAGGUUUAAGACAGGGAAACCUGAUGACCCCAUUCCUAUACCUAAUAGUAGCUCAGUGGUUGGCUGGGAUGGUGAGACAUGCUAUUAGAAAGCAAAUGCUUGAAGGUGUAACAAUUGGAACCAAUGCAAUUAGGGUUAACUUGCUCCGAUUUGCAUGUGACACUUUUUGUAUUUCAAGGACUUCAGCAAAUAUAUUGGUAGUUAGUUUUUGGGAUUUUGAUAAAAAGUACAUGUAAAUAUAGAUAAUAGUAUAUAUUAUAUAGAUUGAGUUGAGUAGAGACUACAAUUGAAUUUCAUCUUAUUCUACUGUACCAUUACUAUCUUGUCUAUUUAAUAUGUAAAUCCUUCAAUGUCAUGAAAGUACUCUUAAAGAUA